UAAUACUCUAAAAUCUGCAUUUUGCUAAUAUAAAAUUUUAAGUUUGAUUACAAUUGUUUUAAUUUUAAAUGUUGGAAUAUAUGGUCUAAAAAUAAAAUAUUUAGUAAAAAAGUUUGGCUUUUUUUGUCUAAUUAGCCCAUUACUUGGCUAAGAGAACAGUAGGAAAACUUAAUAAUACAGACAGACGGGUAGCUGGAAACUUUUCCUUACGUGUUGUUGGCUGUUCUAGGACAGAAUGGGUCCAAUUCGCAUUGUCUUUUCUUUUACCACAUAUAUCUUGACUACGAAACCAAACUUGCACAACUCUACAAACUAAGUUCCCUUGAAAAGUAGAUUCAAAUUCAUCUGGUCUUGAGAGGUUCAACUCUUGUCCGUUGUUACGGCUAUCC
RNAcentral lists this unclassified non-coding RNA (389 nucleotides) under Hevea brasiliensis (rubber tree). The record is from RNAcentral. Lineage: Eukaryota; Viridiplantae; Streptophyta; Magnoliopsida; Malpighiales; Euphorbiaceae.